AUACGGAGGAUCCGAGCGUUAUCCGGAUUUAUUGGGUUUAAAGGGUGCGCAGGCGGCCAUUUAAGUCAGCGGUUAAAUCGUGGGGCUCAACCCCAUUCUGCCGUUGAUACUGGGUGGCUUGAUUGCGGUCGAGGUUGGCGGAAUUCGUUGUGUAGCGGUGAAAUGCAUAGAUAUGACGAAGAACACCGAUUGCGUAGGCAUGUGAGCAGAACGCAAAUGACGCUCAUGCACGAGAGUGCGGGGAUCGAACAGGAUUAGAUACCCUGGUCGUCCGCACAGUAAACGAUUAAUACUUGUUUUCAACGAUAUAAUGUCGGAGGCAAAGCGAAAGCGAUAAGUGUUCCACCUGGGGGGUACGCCGGCAACGGUGAAACUGAACGGAAUUGACGGGG
RNAcentral lists this ribosomal RNA (392 nucleotides) under uncultured bacterium. RNAcentral describes it as "partial 16S ribosomal RNA". It matches the Rfam family "Bacterial small subunit ribosomal RNA", at positions 523 to 918 of the family's 1533-position model. The record is from RNAcentral.